This is a long non-coding RNA of Anas platyrhynchos (mallard), 997 nucleotides long. RefSeq lists it as uncharacterized. Lineage: Eukaryota; Metazoa; Chordata; Aves; Anseriformes; Anatidae. The record is from RefSeq and is a predicted model, not a curated record.
AAGAAACCCCAAGAACAUUCUGCUAAAUGUAUUAGGCCAUAUUCAUUUAUAUGUUCUGGCUAAUUUGUGCUGCUCUGGUGAUGCAAAGCAGCCAUAAACCUGGAUUAGUGCAGUGGAGCAGUGGGGAGACUUUAGUAAAGAAACAGGAAGACUGUAGUUUGCUGUGAGACAUAGACUGUAUGUAGGGUUUUGCAGAAGCAGGAAGGAGACGGGAGAACAAGACUGAGCAUUUGCUCUAUAUCCAUGGAGAGGAGGGCUGAAAACUGCAAAUUUUAAAUAUGCAUCCAAAGAUGUCUAUUGCUAAUUUUAUCAUCCGUAGGAUGGACUGAGAAAAUCAACAAGAGUUUGGGCUGUGCAGUCUCUCAUUAAUAUAUUUUGGCUUCUGGGAUGACUACUCAGAGGACAUACCGAGAUAAGUGUUGCAAUAUAUUUACACAGACAAGAAAAAGCUGUUAAGAAAAUUAUUAAUAUGUGUUGAAAAAUGCACAUGAAUAUAUAUAUAUUCUAGUCUGAGUUAGUGGCAUAUGUAAGGAUUAUACAUAUAUGUGUUUAAGGGGUGUGUGUAUGUGUAUAAAUGCAUAUUACUUCUCAAAAUGAGAAUUGCUUGAUUGAGAUUGGAGUUGUUAAUUCUCAUGGCAAUGACAGUCUAAAAAGGCAAAAGAGAAAUGAUAUAUAAACAAUUUAUUGAAAGUGAAGUCUGUAAAUAACGAUUUCUAACCUCACCUGGUCCUAGCUCUGUUACUCUUUCAUUACAAAAGCUAUUUUUAACAGUUUUUAAUUGCUUAUCAUUUGCUACUUCCUAAUAAAUCUAUGAAAUACUGAAGACAGAUAAGAUGAUUUUUCUGUCUUUUCCAACUGAAUUUCUAUUUCAGAUAUGGAUGAGAAAUAAAGAUUUUAUAGUAUGCCUGACUGUUACUCUCAUUAUUUAGUAUUUUUUUGGGAAGAAGAUACCUUCUAAGGUCUUGGUUCCUUGCCCUUUAAAGGUUAGGAAGGAGGA